ACCGGGUGUGGUGGUGUGUGCCUGUAGUCCCAGCUACUUGGGAGGCUGAGGCUGGAGGAUCGCUUGAGUCCAGGAGUUCUGGGCUAUAGUGCGCUAUGCCGACUGGGUGUCUGCACUAAGUUCAACAUCAAUAUGAUGACCUCCCAGGAGCGGGGGACCACCAAGUCCCCCACCAAGACCACAAGAAGGGGUGAACUGGCCCAGGUCGGAAAUGGAGCAGGUCAAAACUCCCAUGCUGUUCAGUAGUGGGAACACACCUGUGAAUAGCCACUGCAUUCCAGCCUGGGCAACAUAGCGAGACCCCAUCUCU
Molecule: unclassified non-coding RNA, 310 nt
Organism: Cebus imitator (Panamanian white-faced capuchin)
Lineage: Eukaryota; Metazoa; Chordata; Mammalia; Primates; Cebidae
Rfam family: Metazoan signal recognition particle RNA
About the family: The signal recognition particle (SRP) is a universally conserved ribonucleoprotein.
Source: Ensembl